RNAcentral lists this ribosomal RNA (121 nucleotides) under Kwoniella heveanensis BCC8398. The record is from RNAcentral. Lineage: Eukaryota; Fungi; Basidiomycota; Tremellomycetes; Tremellales; Cryptococcaceae.
AUCUACGGCCAUAGAAUCGAGAAAAUGCCGAACCCCGUCCGCUCUUCGAAGCUUCAAGUUCGAUAUCGCUCGGUUAGUACCAUCGUGGGGGACCAGAUGGGAAUCCCGGGUGCUGUAGUUU